GUCGAGGGGUAACAGAGAAGCUUGCUUCUGCUGACGACCGGCGCACGGGUGCGUAACGCGUAUGCAACCUACCUCAUACUGGAGCAUAGCCCUUGGAAACGGGGAUUAAUACUCCAUGGUAUCAUUUUUUCGCAUGUUAAAAUGAUUAAAGAAUUUCGGUAUGAGAUGGGCAUGCGUCCCAUUAGCUAGUUGGUGAGGUAACGGCUCACCAAGGCGACGAUGGGUAGGGGGCCUGAGAGGGUGGUCCCCCACACUGGUACUGAGACACGGACCAGACUCCUACGGGAGGCAGCAGUGAGGAAUAUUGGUCAAUGGAGGCAACUCUGAACCAGCCAUGCCGCGUGAAGGAUGACGGCCCUAUGGGUUGUAAACUUCUUUUAUAUGGGAAGAAACUUAUCUACGUGUAGAUAACUGACGGUACCAUACGAAUAAGGAUCGGCUAACUCCGUGCCAGCAGCCGCGGUAAUACGGAGGAUCCAAGCGUUAUCCGGAUUCAUUGGGUUUAAAGGGUCCGUAGGCGGAUUUUUAAGUCAGUGGUGAAAGCCGGCAGCUCAACUGUCGAACUGCCAUUGAUACUGGAAAUCUUGAGUACAAAUGAAGUAGGCGGAAUGAGUCAUGUAGCGGUGAAAUGCAUAGAUAUGACUCAGAACACCGAUUGCGAAGGCAGCUUACUAACAUGUAACUGACGCUGAGGGACGAAAGCGUGGGGAGCGAACAGGAUUAGAUACCCUGGUAGUCC
RNAcentral lists this ribosomal RNA (739 nucleotides) under uncultured bacterium. RNAcentral describes it as "bacterial SSU rRNA". It matches the Rfam family "Bacterial small subunit ribosomal RNA", at positions 61 to 796 of the family's 1533-position model. The record is from RNAcentral.